This 505-nucleotide ribosomal RNA is filed under the name uncultured bacterium. RNAcentral describes it as "partial 16S ribosomal RNA". It matches the Rfam family "Bacterial small subunit ribosomal RNA", at positions 30 to 523 of the family's 1533-position model. The record is from RNAcentral.
AUUGAACGCUGGCGGCACGCCUUACACAUGCAAGUCGAACGGUAGCAGGCCGUAGCAAUACGGUGCUGACGAGUGGCGAACGGGUGAGUAAAACAUCGGAACAUACCUUGUAGCGGGGAAUAACUAAUCGAAAGAUUAGCUAAUACCGCAUAACAUCUGAGGAUUAAAGCUGGGGACCGCAAGGCAUGGAACUACAAGAUUGGCCGAUGACUGAUUAGGUAGGUUGUUGAGGUAAAGGCUCACCAAGCCGACGAUCAGUAGCAGGUUGAAGAGAAUAAUGUGCCAGACGGGAGCUGAGACACGGUCCGGACUCCUCCGGGAAGCAGCAGUGGGGAAUAUUGGAAAAUGAACGAAAGACUGAUCCGGCGAUGCCGCGUGAGUGAAUAAUGUCUUCGGAUUGUAAAGCUCUUUUGUCAGGGAAGAAAAGUGCUGUAAUAACACUACGGCACAAUGACGGUACCUGAAGAAUAAGGAUCGGCUAACUACGUGCCAGCCGCCGCCGUAA